This 28-nucleotide non-coding RNA is filed under the name Mus musculus (house mouse). Lineage: Eukaryota; Metazoa; Chordata; Mammalia; Rodentia; Muridae. The record is from RNAcentral.
UUCAAGUCAAAGGCCAUUUUUAUAAGAC